Long non-coding RNA from Mercenaria mercenaria, 311 nucleotides. RefSeq lists it as uncharacterized. The record is from RefSeq and is a predicted model, not a curated record. The transcript is spliced from 3 exons. Lineage: Eukaryota; Metazoa; Mollusca; Bivalvia; Venerida; Veneridae.
GCAGAACUGUGGUUGACGAAUGUUUUAUUUCUGCCACUUCUUUAUCUGCUUGCCUUGUAAAUGUAUUUCAUGCAUUUACUAUAGCUUUAAGAGUAUCAGCAUCACGUGUGGCAGAUGUGUGGAGAGAAACUGUGCAGACCAGUGUCACUGUGUGUAUAAAGGGUUAAGAUCCCCUAGAUCUUGCCCGGAAUGUAUACAUCACCUUAACAGACAUCUGAAGAAAUAUAUACCAUAUGAACUGAUAGAUGAAGUGUUGUUAUACUUGUAUACUUUGUGAGUGUUUGAUAAUGACAAAGGGACAGAAGUACAAC